RNAcentral lists this ribosomal RNA (482 nucleotides) under uncultured bacterium. RNAcentral describes it as "bacterial SSU rRNA". It matches the Rfam family "Bacterial small subunit ribosomal RNA", at positions 30 to 506 of the family's 1533-position model. The record is from RNAcentral.
UUGAACGCUGGCGGCAUGCCUUACACAUGCAAGUCGAACGGCAGCACGGGGGCAACCCUGGUGGCGAGUGGCGAACGGGUGAGUAAUAUAUCGGAACGUACCCUAGAGUGGGGGAUAACGUAGCGAAAGUUACGCUAAUACCGCAUACGAUCUACGGAUGAAAGUGGGGGACCUUCGGGCCUCAUGCUUUUGGAGCGGCCGAUAUCUGAUUAGCUAGUUGGUAGGGUAAAGGCCUACCAAGGCAACGAUCAGUAGCUGGUCUGAGAGGACGACCAGCCACACUGGAACUGAGACACGGUCCAGACUCCUACGGGAGGCAGCAGUGGGGAAUUUUGGACAAUGGGCGCAAGCCUGAUCCAGCAAUGCCGCGUGAGUGAAGAAGGCCUUCGGGUUGUAAAGCUCUUUUGUCAGGGAAGAAACGGCUGCGGCUAAUAUCUGCGGCUAAUGACGGUACCUGAAGAAUAAGCACCGGCUAACUACGU